GCAUCGGUGGUUCAGUGGUAGAAUGCUCGCAUGCCACGCGGGCAGCCCGGUUUCAAUUCCCGGCCGAUGCA
This 71-nucleotide transfer RNA is filed under the name Heliconius melpomene (postman butterfly). RNAcentral's name for it is "tRNA HMEL006215". It matches the Rfam family "tRNA". From Rfam's summary of the family: Transfer RNA (tRNA) molecules are approximately 80 nucleotides in length. Their secondary structure includes four short double-helical elements and three loops (D, anti-codon, and T loops). Lineage: Eukaryota; Metazoa; Arthropoda; Insecta; Lepidoptera; Nymphalidae. The record is from RNAcentral.